GGGGCGGGGGGGCCAGCACCGAGUGCACGCGGUCCUAUCCAUCCCGCGUAAGGGACCCGGAGUCCGAGGGUGAUGGGCGAGGGUCGGGGCGGCGCUCAGACCCCGACUACCCGGACCGUGCGGAAGUGACAGGAGAAAACCCAGGGAGCCAGCACCCCUGGUCCAGCCUCCUCUUUCUGCAGAAGGACCGUCAUCACAAAUUCAGGACACUGUUCUUUUACUCCUUUUUCUGGAUGCCAUGCUGUGAAGAUGCGCCCGGGCUGGGUACGUGGCCACCAGGUGGCAGGCGGCUCCUGGCGUCACGUCCCACUUCCUUGGGCAACAACACAGUGCUGCCCUUUGGAUCCUGAGAGCCGUCGCUG
This is a long non-coding RNA of Callorhinus ursinus (northern fur seal), 362 nucleotides long. RefSeq lists it as uncharacterized. NCBI's taxonomy places the organism in Eukaryota, Metazoa, Chordata, Mammalia, Carnivora, Otariidae. The record is from RefSeq and is a predicted model, not a curated record.